GAUUGGCUACACUGCAAUCUCGGGUUAUUGCUUAGUCAAUUGCAUUACACAAUAAAAUUUAUCAUUCAUGAUGACAGGAGGUCACACAAUAAAGUGCACAGGUAAAUUAAAUAAAAACUUGAUAAAAAUCAUGUUUUCAUGAUCCUAGCUAAAAAAAUGUAAUUAUAAGUAUUGAAUGCUGCUUUUUGUAACUUUAUUGGGUUGUAAAAGCGUUGACCAUGCCCACAUUUAUAGAAUGAAGCGCUUC
RNAcentral lists this long non-coding RNA (247 nucleotides) under Mytilus galloprovincialis (Mediterranean mussel). The record is from RNAcentral. Lineage: Eukaryota; Metazoa; Mollusca; Bivalvia; Mytilida; Mytilidae.